This 305-nucleotide ribosomal RNA is filed under the name uncultured bacterium. RNAcentral describes it as "bacterial SSU rRNA". It matches the Rfam family "Bacterial small subunit ribosomal RNA", at positions 335 to 655 of the family's 1533-position model. The record is from RNAcentral.
UGCCUACGGGAGGCAGCAGUGGGGAAUAUUGGGCAAUGGGCGCAAGCCUGACCCAGCAACGCCGCGUGAAGGAAGAAGGCUUUCGGGUUGUAAACUUCUUUUAUUCGGGACGAAGAAAGUGACGGUACCGAAUGAAUAAGCCACGGCUAACUACGUGCCAGCAGCCGCGGUAAUACGUAGGUGGCAAGCGUUAUCCGGAUUUAUUGGGUGUAAAGGGCGUGUAGGCGGGAAUGCAAGUCAGAUGUGAAAUCCGGGGGCUCAACCCCCGAACUGCAUUUGAAACUGUUGGUCUUGAGUAUCGGAGG